GAUGAACGCUGGCGGCGUGCCUAAUACAUGCAAGUCGAGCGAACGGACGAGAAGCUUGCUUCUCUGAUGUUAGCGGCGGACGGGUGAGUAACACGUGGAUAACCUACCUAUAAGACUGGGAUAACUUCGGGAAACCGGAGCUAAUACCGGAUAAUAUUUUGAACCGCAUGGUUCAAAAGUGAAAGACGGUCUUGCUGUCACUUAUAGAUGGAUCCGCGCUGCAUUAGCUAGUUGGUAAGGUAACGGCUUACCAAGGCAACGAUGCAUAGCCGACCUGAGAGGGUGAUCGGCCACACUGGAACUGAGACACGGUCCAGACUCCUACGGGAGGCCGCAGUAGGGCAUCUUCCGCAAUGGGCGAAAGCCUGACGGAGCAACGCCGCGUGAGUGAUGAAGGUCUUCGGAUCGUAAAACUCUGUUAUUAGGGAAGAACAUAUGUGUAAGUAACUGUGCACAUCUUGACGGUACCUAAUCAGAAAGCCACGGCUAACUACGUG
This 497-nucleotide ribosomal RNA is filed under the name uncultured bacterium. Its description in RNAcentral is "partial 16S ribosomal RNA". It matches the Rfam family "Bacterial small subunit ribosomal RNA", at positions 28 to 507 of the family's 1533-position model. The record is from RNAcentral.